This 501-nucleotide ribosomal RNA is filed under the name uncultured bacterium. RNAcentral's name for it is "partial 16S ribosomal RNA". It matches the Rfam family "Bacterial small subunit ribosomal RNA", at positions 29 to 523 of the family's 1533-position model. The record is from RNAcentral.
AUUGAACGCUGGCGGCAUGCCUUACACAUGCAAGUCGAACGGCAGCACGGGUGCUUGCACCUGGUGGCGAGUGGCGAACGGGUGAGUAAUACAUCGGAACGUACCUUAUCGUGGGGGAUAACGCAGCGAAAGCUGUGCUAAUACCGCAUACGCCCUGAGGGGGAAAGCGGGGGAUCGAAAGACCUCGCGCGACUAGAGCGGCCGAUGCCUGAUUAGCUUGUUGGUGGGGUAAAAGCCCACCAAGGCGACGAUCAGUAGCUGGUCUGAGAGGACGAUCAGCCACACUGGGACGGAGAAACGGCCCAGACUCCUACGGGAGGCAGCAGUGGGGAAUGUUGGACAAUGGGGGCAACCCUGAUCCGGCAAUGCCGCGUGAGUGAAGAAGGCCUUCGGGUUGUAAAGCUCUUUUGUCAGGGAAGAAACACCGGCUCUAACACAGUCCGGGAAUGACGGUACCUGAAGAAUAAGCACCGGCUAACUACGUGCCAGCAGCCGCCGUAA